GUUCUGUCAUCUAGAAGUCCCCUUCUCUUUGUUUCUUCAGAGCUCAGAUUCGAUCUUCAUGGCUCGUUCUUCCAAGAACACGGCUUCGUCCUUUUAUCUUCAUCAUCGUAAGAUUCAACGUCAUCAUCCAUCUGGUUCUGAGUUUGUUACUUCCGUUCAAGGAGGAUCGUGCGCUAAAGGAUUAUUUCUCUGAGAUUGACGUCACGAUUCAUGGACGAAAAGGCCAAGACUCUUCUUUGUUUACCAAGAAUUCACAGAAUGUUCUUUCUUUGCGCAUUAUACAUGCAAGGUUUUAGCUGCCUGGGGAGGCUCCAUGGAGGCAGUGGUUGAUGGGUAUUCUUCAAGUCAGGGGUGGCAGAUAAUCUGGUUGUGUAAUCUAUUGAAACUUGGAGCGAAAUGGGAUGAAGUUGUGAUGUUGGAUGAAUGAAAUGUACUGGGAUAAAGAAACCCUUGCACAGUGGGUUGAGUCCUUGUUUUGUCAUCCGACCUUUGCCAUGACAGGUGCGCUUGCAUGGCAGGUCACACAAAUCUUAAUAAAAUUUCUGUUUUGGUGGUUUUGAGGGGCGUUCGCACGGGAUAGUCCGGGUUCUCCCCUCUGUGUGUGGUGUGUCUGCUCUCCUUUUCAUUGCCUCUAUCUCUUUUCAUUGAAUUUGCUACUAUCGUCCUAAUGCACCCCUGUGCACGUGCUUGGAUUCAUGAACUUGUUACUAUCUACCCCUAUGCACCAUAUCGGUUGGAUUCAUAAACCUGAUACUAUUUCCGGAUGCACUUGAGUGUUGGAUUCAUAACCAUCUCAGCUAGAUAAGGCCUUAAACCCAUUCUACAAUCAGAUCCUGUUGCACUAACGCAUUCUGCACUUCUACUCGAAAGAUCUGGAGGUACCGGAAUAUGGUGGCUAGCAAACCUCCAAUUCUGAUGGGUUCCAGCAACUCCCCUCGGUCCCAGGUUUGGCUCCUCUCCAGUUCAGUUCCGAUCAAACCAGCACUCAGCAACCCACAGCAAAAUAUAGCGGCAACUCUCAAACAAACAGAAAUGAAAAUGAGCAGAACUGCAGCAAUUGGUUCACCCUAAAUAUUCCAACAACACCACUAUCCAUGAACACAAGAAUAUAAAUGGAAAAGAAGAAUACAGCAUCAUAUUGCACUCAAAGAGCUCCAGAAAUAAUAGUCAUUACAGUAGCCAUCAGAGUGUGUAAUUGUAUCUGAAAAUGGAAACGACUGAAGAAAAAGGAAAAAUAUGUUAGCUGGGUUUCCAGAGCCAACCCACUCUAACUGUAAUACAAUAAAUCAAACUCAAUAAAAGGAUUUAUUCUUCUCUACCCUUCUUUGCCUACUAUUAUUUCCUUUAUUUACUGGAUAUUCUCAUAUCAGAAUCGUGGUCCCGCACUCCUCAUGUGCUGCUACCCAUAUCUCUUGGAGGCGUUAAUUCAACAAACUCUAAACCAGCAACUGAAUUUCUCUACUGAUUUAGCUGUUGGAUUUCUUGGACCGUCUCUACAAAAUUUUACUUUGAAUUAAAUUACUAAAACAAAACUGGAAUCUGCUAUUGCUUCUUCUUUUAUUGGAUUAUAAACAUUCAACUAGUUGUUUGAAGCAUUGAAGAGAAAGAUGGUUGGACCAGAGAGGCCUCAGUUUGUGCUGUUUGGGUUCAAUUCUGGCUGACAUUGGUGUUCGUAUGGAUGCUGCUGUAUAUCCUGCAUUGGUAAUCUUGCCUGAAUAUAUGGAAAACAUGAGUUCAUCUCAAGAGCCUAGCAGCUCUG
Molecule: long non-coding RNA, 1759 nt
Organism: Mangifera indica (mango)
Lineage: Eukaryota; Viridiplantae; Streptophyta; Magnoliopsida; Sapindales; Anacardiaceae
Exons: 6
Source: RefSeq, a predicted model, not a curated record